Small nucleolar RNA from Drosophila busckii, 137 nucleotides. It matches the Rfam family "Small nucleolar RNA psi28S-1192". Rfam says of the family: psi28S-1192 is a member of the H/ACA class of snoRNA. This family is responsible for guiding the modification of uridine 1192 to pseudouridine in Drosophila 28S rRNA. The record is from Rfam. Lineage: Eukaryota; Metazoa; Arthropoda; Insecta; Diptera; Drosophilidae.
AUUAUGUCCAGUCUAAUUCUGCAUCAUGUCAUCGUAUAUUGUCGCAGACUCGCUUUUGGACAAAAGCAAACUUUUAUUAUCCUUGUGCUUGUGACAGUCUUCAGUUCAAUGCACACGAGAAACGUAGAAGAACAUCU